CCUGUCUUUAGGUCUCCCUGUAGAGCUGUGGUAAGCUUUCCAGUGCGCCAACCCAAAGCUGAGCUAAUCAUUUUGUUUUGCCACAGAUUUCACUCGAUGGAUCUCUGGGACUGGGAAGAAAAAGGCAAGUUAGGCCUGACUUGGGAAUAGACACAAGGGCACCAAAAUGAAAGGAACAAAAACUCUGGCAAGAGGACAGAGUGUGAAGUUGAAUGGCUUUGGGAUCCACGCAGGAGAUUGGUGGAGCAAACUCCUGCGUAUGUCUGGACGAGUCAUGAAGACACGGCCUUGCAGUCUAUGGCUGCUCCAUCCCCCUUUCCUCUUUGUCAGUGUCCCCUGGUCUAUUUCCUGGCCAUCAUCAACCAAACAGCUUUGCUCCACCAUGCCCUUCCUGCUGUGUUGCUCCUGCUGGCCAUGUACUGAAUCCUUUGAAACUGUAAACUAAAUUAAACAUCUCCUUCUUUAAACAGUCAGUUUUGUACUGAAUCCUUUGAAACCAUAAACUAAAUUAAACAUCUCCUUCUUUAAACAGUCAGUUUUGGGUAUUGUCUCCCAGAAAUGGGAAAGUAGAAAAUACACUCUCUAUCCCCAAUUGAUAUGUUUAAAUUUUAAUCCUUGAGGUAACUCUCUAGAGAUGGAGUAGGUGGGAUGGAUAUCUUUAUAGAAGAGGAAGAGACACCUGAGAAGUCUCCUCAUGCACAGAAGAAAGGCCAUAUAUGGACACAGUGAGAAAGUGGCUGUCUGCAAGGCAGGAAGGGAGACCAGAACACUACUCCUGGCAGCAUCUUGAUCUCGAAUGUCUAGUCUCCAAAACUUUGAGAAAAUAUGUUCCUAUUGUUUAAUCUGUACAGCCUGUGAUAUUUUACCACAAUCAGAUAGGUUCUAUCUUACCCUUUCAGUUCUUCCUCAGCUUCCUGGGAAAGUGUGGGAAGCUCUUACCUCUUAGGCACUUGCCUAUAAAAGAUUAAAUUUCUUUACAAACUUUAAGGAUAUUUGGAGCUUUAGAGUCGCUUCCUCUAUGUCACUUCCUGGCCCUUGCCUGCAAUUCCCAUGGUGGAAUUACACAAUAUUAGAGCUUGGCAUCAACUACAGUGAGCGUUCAAUUGAAGAGGGGCAAGUGGAAACAUCUGGGAGAAUGAAACUUUGGCUCAGGAUAGACAAGGAAUAAAACACUCCGAAGAGCUGGGGUCUCUGCAGGGAAUCAUAAAGUGAUAGGCUGCCUGCUUUUUCUGCCCAGGCCAACUUCCUUCUCCACUACAGAAACCACAGUCUACAUAGACAACAUCCCAUGAUUUUCUUCCUAAGAUGUUCUAUCUCACAUAUUCAACUCAUGUACCUUCCCUGCAGAAUUGUCAGGGAGUCCUGAAAAAUAGGGUUUGAAAAGAAGGAUGUGGAGCUGCAAAAAAAGCUGUCUCCACAAAUUGAAGGUGGAUUCUGGAAAAUAGAAGACAUGGAGACAGGAACUAAUAUAAAUUAGUAUAAGUAGAGGAUGGCAGGCUCUGCAGAAGAUUUAAGUAGGGUGUAGGAUAUAGCCUUAGCAACUUACAGACUGGAAAAAAGACUGUGAAAGUACCUUAAUAGUGCCUGGCACAUCAUAGAUACUCAAUAAAUCCUAGCAUUUAAAAAAAUCUCUUCUUCUAGUCUAAAAUGCAUGUAAGGUAUAAAUAGCAUUUGUAACUUUCUGUUAUAAUCUUAUUUUUCUUACAAUGAAUAUAAAUAUAUUUCACUGAAGUACCCUUUUAUAUCAUAUUUAUACUGGAGCCUUGACAGAAUAAACUUUAUCUCUUUUCACUGACAAACUUUGAAACAUUUAAAGACAAUCCUUCCAUUUUUCCAAAUAUUCUCUUCAUACUGGGCAUAGUGACACAUGCCUGUAAUCCCAGCACUUGGGAGGCUGAGCUAGGAUGAUUGCUGAGAGUUCGAGGUCAGCCUGUAAUACAGAGGGAGACCCUGUCUCAAGAAAAAAAGAAAGCCUACAAGGUCUUCUACUAUUCUGCUUCUGAACUACUUUGAAGGCGUUCAUUGUCUGAAUAAACUUAUGUUUGUAUCUGUCCCUCUUAAAAGGUGGCCAUGAACUUGUCACUAUAUAAACAGCACAGAUAAAAUAGGACUAAUGCAU
RNAcentral lists this long non-coding RNA (2119 nucleotides) under Chinchilla lanigera (long-tailed chinchilla). RNAcentral's name for it is "lncRNA (ENSCLAG00000024488.1)". The record is from RNAcentral. Lineage: Eukaryota; Metazoa; Chordata; Mammalia; Rodentia; Chinchillidae.